UAUUUAAUGAGUAAACGACGAUACAGCAGCUAUAUUACUCGGUUAUGUACACACUGUUCUUCAACAAAAAUUUCUUAUUUUCAUUCUGAUCUCCGAAGUGUAACAUUCAGGAAUAAACAAAGAUUGCUUGUUUGGAUUUUUGGUGACUAUCUUAAGCAUUGAGGAUAAAAGACAUCUGUGGUUUCAUUUCAAUAAAGUUCAUAUCAAUAGUAAUUAAAGGCGUAGUGGACCACUAAUCGUCCAUCCAUGUCGUAGUAGAACAGCGAAGGGACCUUCUCUUGUGCUUGGUAUUACUCUCAAAGGCUCGUGGGCUGAAAUACAGUUGCUACCAAUGAGAAGGCCAAUCUCUAGACCAGAAUCUGGAUUCAUUUUCUCUGUGUUAACAAUGUUCCAAAUUGAAUGAUGUCUUUGCUCUGCUAUUGAAUGAGAAGGGAUUUUCAAUUUAAAGAUCAGUUUAAUGGAUCCAAUAAAAAGCAAAGCUAAUUAUUCCCGGGUUUGUCAACUGUUGGUAGAUAAAGGAGGAGAUGCUUUGAGACUUGCUCUACAUUUGGUGCAUCCACCUUCCUCCUUGGCCUCCGCAUUGAAUGCCAACAAGAUGACCCUGCAGAGAAUACGAUACAAUAUAAUUAAAACCCCGCAAUGGGAUUUACUCUUCCCAAUAUCUGGUGUACCAGAUUCAAACAACUUCGAUGUCACCUUACUGACUGUCCUACUUCGAAAUAUUUGUGGAUUGUCUCCACCAGCGACUGGGUGGAAUGUUAUGCCUCCAGCUAGCGAUACAUCUAUAUCAGCAAACAUUUUGAGAGUCAAAAUGUUCAGGAAUGAAGUGUAUGGUCAUAUUCCAACUGCAAGUUUGGACGACACAACGUUUGAAAAAUUGUGGCAAGAGAUUUCGGUACCGUUGGUCAACUUGGGAAUUCCUCAAAAGGAUAUUGAUGAGUUGAAAGUGACUCCUCUUAGCCCUGAAGAAGAAAGUUAUAUUAACAGAUUAAAAAAAUGGAAACAACAAGACGAUGACUUGAAAUCAGAAUUAAGUGAUGUUAGAAGUGAAGUAGUCA
This is a long non-coding RNA of Dendronephthya gigantea, 1058 nucleotides long. RefSeq lists it as uncharacterized. The transcript is spliced from 5 exons. Lineage: Eukaryota; Metazoa; Cnidaria; Anthozoa; Malacalcyonacea; Nephtheidae. The record is from RefSeq and is a predicted model, not a curated record.